AUUGAACGCUGGCGGCAGGCUUAACACAUGCAAGUCGAGCGGGGUGAUGGUGCUUGCACUAUCACUUAGCGGGACGGGUGAGUAAUGCUUAGGAAUCUGCCUAUUAGUGGGGGACAACAUCUCGACAGGGAUGCUAAUACCGCAUACGUCCUACGGGAGAAAGCAGGGGAUCACUUGUGACCUUGCGCUAAUAGAUGAGCCUAAGUCGGAUUAGCUAGUUGGUGGGGUAAAGGCCUACCAAGGCGACGAUCUGUAGCGGGUCUGAGAGGAUGGUCCGCCACACUGGGACUGAGACACGGCCCAGACUCCUACGGGAGGCAGCAGUGGGGAAUAUUGGACAAUGGGGGGAACCCUGAUCCAGCCAUGCCGCGUGUGUGAAGAAGGCCUUAUGGUUGUAAAGCACUUUAAGCGAGGAGGAGGCUCUUUUGGUUAAUACCCAAGAUGAGUGGACGUUACUCGCAGAAUAAGCACCGGCUAACUCUGUGCCAGCCGCCGCGGUAA
RNAcentral lists this ribosomal RNA (501 nucleotides) under uncultured bacterium. RNAcentral describes it as "partial 16S ribosomal RNA". It matches the Rfam family "Bacterial small subunit ribosomal RNA", at positions 30 to 523 of the family's 1533-position model. The record is from RNAcentral.